AGAUUUUUUUUCUCGUUUUUUUUUUUUUUUUUUUUUUUCAUGUGGCU
RNAcentral lists this non-coding RNA (47 nucleotides) under Chattonella subsalsa. The record is from RNAcentral. Lineage: Eukaryota; Raphidophyceae; Chattonellales; Chattonellaceae.